UACGUAGGGUGCGAGCGUUAAUCGGAAUUAUUGGGCGUAAAGAGCUCGUAGGCGGUCUGUCGCGUCUGCUGUGAAAACUCGGGGCUUAACCCCGGGCCUGCAGUGGGUACGGGCAGACUAGAGUGCGGUAGGGGAGACUGGAAUUCCUGGUGUAGCGGUGAAAUGCGCAGAUAUCAGGAGGAACACCGGUGGCGAAGGCGGGUCUCUGGGCCGUAACUGACGCUGGAGGAGCGAAAGCGUGGGGAGCGAACAGG
Molecule: ribosomal RNA, 254 nt
Filed under: uncultured bacterium
Lineage: Bacteria
Description: partial 16S ribosomal RNA
Rfam family: Bacterial small subunit ribosomal RNA
Source: RNAcentral